GUGGGGAAUUUUGGACAAUGGGCGCAAGCCUGAUCCAGCAAUGCCGCGUGCAGGAAGAAGGCCUUCGGGUUGUAAACUGCUUUUGUACGGAACGAAACGGUCCUGGCUAAUACCCGGGGCUAAUGACGGUACCGUAAGAAUAAGCACCGGCUAACUACGUGCCAGCAGCCGCGGUAAUACGUAGGGUGCGAGCGUUAAUCGGAAUUACUGGGCGUAAAGCGUGCGCAGGCGGUGCUGUAAGACAGGCGUGAAAUCCCCGGGCUCAACCUGGGAAUUGCGCUUGUGACUUGAGUGCUAGAGUGCGGCAGAGGGGGAUGGAAUUCCGCGUGUAGCAGUGAAAUGCGUAGAUAUGCGGAGGAACACCGAUGGCGAAGGCAAUCCCCUGGGCCUGCACUGACGCUCAUGCACGAAAGCGUGGGGAGCAAACAGGAUUAGAAACCCGGGUAGUCC
RNAcentral lists this ribosomal RNA (450 nucleotides) under uncultured bacterium. RNAcentral describes it as "partial 16S ribosomal RNA". It matches the Rfam family "Bacterial small subunit ribosomal RNA", at positions 354 to 796 of the family's 1533-position model. The record is from RNAcentral.